UCGGCUUCUCGGCCUUUUGGCUAAGAUCAAGUGUAGUAUCUGUUCUUAUCAGUUUAAAAAGAUUCCCAGGUGAUUCUAAUGUGCAGCCAAGGUUGAGAACCACUGAUCUAGAAUAUCAUAAUAAUAAAUAAGAUGCAUAAGCAUGACUGAAACAUUA
This 157-nucleotide small nuclear RNA is filed under the name Myotis lucifugus (little brown bat). Its description in RNAcentral is "U2 spliceosomal RNA". It matches the Rfam family "U2 spliceosomal RNA". Rfam says of the family: U2 is a small nuclear RNA (snRNA) component of the spliceosome (involved in pre-mRNA splicing). Complementary binding between U2 snRNA (in an area lying towards the 5' end but 3' to hairpin I) and the branchpoint sequence (BPS) of the intron results the bulging out of an unpaired adenosine, on the BPS, which initiates a nucleophilic attack at the intronic 5' splice site, thus starting the first of two transesterification reactions that mediate splicing. The record is from Rfam by way of RNAcentral. Lineage: Eukaryota; Metazoa; Chordata; Mammalia; Chiroptera; Vespertilionidae.